AAACCUCUUUUAUCAAGGAAGAAGAUCUGAGGGUACUUGAUGAAUAAGCCACGGCUAAUUCCGUGCCAGCAGCCGCGGUAAUACGGGAGUGGCAAGCGUUAUCCGGAAUUAUUGGGCGUAAAGCGUCCGCAGGCGGCCCUUCAAGUCUGCUGUUAAAAAGUGGAGCUUAACUCCAUCAUGGCAGUGGAAACUGUUGGGCUUGAGUGUGGUAGGGGCAGAGGGAAUUCCCGGUGUAGCGGUGAAAUGCGUAGAUAUCGGGAAGAACACCAGUGGCGAAGGCGCUCUGCUGGGCCAUCACUGACGCUCAUGGACGAAAGCCAGGGGAGCGAAAGGGAUUAGAUACCCCUGUAGUCCUGGCCGUAAACGAUGAACACUAGGUGUCGGGGGAAUCGACCCCCUCGGUGUCGUACCCAACGCGUUAAGUGUUCCGCCUGGGGAGUACGCACGCAAGUGAGAAACUCAAAGGAAUU
Molecule: ribosomal RNA, 470 nt
Filed under: uncultured Synechococcus sp.
Lineage: Bacteria; Bacillati; Cyanobacteriota; Cyanophyceae; Synechococcales; Synechococcaceae
Description: bacterial SSU rRNA
Rfam family: Bacterial small subunit ribosomal RNA
Source: RNAcentral